CGUCACGGAUGGGCGACGAGGGAGCGCUGCUGAGCGUCCGGACGGACAGGAUGGCGCCACCGAGCAGGAGGUAACUUAAUUUUACCUUCAAAAUCGUCAAUUUCUUAUUCGUACACCUUCGCAUUGUGUAUGUUGCUUGGACUCCAUAAUCCAAAUCAUCCUGAUUGCGGGCUGACAGAAGAUACACCAGCAUCCAUGAAUCAAUCUAGAAUAAAAAAUUUGCCAGUUCAAAACAGAAUUGAAGUUUCGAAAAAUCUCCACGAAAAGUCAUAUUUGAAAGUGGACAAAAGAUGCCACACCCAAAAACCGCAUUUAAAGGAAAAAGGUUAAGAACAACUCCAAAGAGAUAUUCAAAUUUACUUCUACAUUUACAGCAGCUGUUACUCGAACUUUUAAUAAUAUCCCUAAACAAAAAGUGUCCAAAUUUGAAAUAGACUUAAUACUGUUUUGUCACUCCUUUGUCACUCAAUGAUUGAUGUCUUAAUUUAAAAAAAAAAAUGUAAAGCCAGAAUAACUGUUGUUGAUCCCGCCAAAAUCAAUUUACAAAAUAAUUUGUUGCCUAAUUCACAGGUGCACAUUUUCUAAGAAAUAAUAAUUAUAAUCCAUUUAUGGCUUAUAAAGGGAUAUGGUCAUUAAGUUAACUCCACUCGGCACUUCAGUAAUUAUUUAGAAAAAAAUGUAUUGUAACCCCCCAAAAAAAAUAUAAAAAGACAUGUAGACCUUUUGUUAUGUUGA
Long non-coding RNA from Pseudophryne corroboree (corroboree frog), 735 nucleotides. RefSeq lists it as uncharacterized. Lineage: Eukaryota; Metazoa; Chordata; Amphibia; Anura; Myobatrachidae. The record is from RefSeq and is a predicted model, not a curated record. The transcript has 4 exons.